UUACUAUGACAAGGAAUCCACUGUCUAUGUAAAAACUGUCCAAGGAAAUAGUGGAUUCUGGUGAAACUGAUGACAGUAAACUCCAGGUCCUUUCAAGACAGCUGAUACAGUCACGAUCUUUGACAACAAGAUAACCCUUCAAAUCCCUGUUGAUCACAACACUAGACGGUCAGAAUAUAUGUUAGAUCAGGAAGGGAACAAGUGUUUAGAAGAAAUGAGCCCCGUCAACAAAGCUGUAACCUCAGAAAAAGGCCUCAAAGGCCUCUGCUAUCCACAGUGGUUACCACUGAUAAGUACACAGCUUGAAGACCCAGAUGGUAGUUUUCCAAAGGCUGAGAUGACAGAAAAAUGUGGCAAAGAAACCAGAAAAAAUACUUGCAGUCUGCAGCUACUGGCCUGACUUUAAAAAUGGCAACCAGCAAAGUCCUUUCUGAUUCUAAAUGUAUUGGUAAAUAUUUGUUUUCUUCCAAAUCAUAAAUAAGAUCCAAAAAAUAUACCAAGUCAGAUUGUCUCUACACUCAUCAAGAAUACCUGCACUGCUUCAAGAAAGUAGCACAGCAUUAGUACCAUAUUUAAGUAGUCAUCUUUGCCAUUUCUUGCCUAUUUUUAAAACACUGUAGAUUUAACAGUUUCCAGAACCACCCUGCCAUCACUGUAUUGCCACAACAUGCCUUAAA
Molecule: long non-coding RNA, 677 nt
Filed under: Homo sapiens (human)
Lineage: Eukaryota; Metazoa; Chordata; Mammalia; Primates; Hominidae
Description: non-protein coding lnc-CDH12-3:1
Source: RNAcentral